RNAcentral lists this unclassified non-coding RNA (362 nucleotides) under uncultured bacterium. Its description in RNAcentral is "contains 16S-23S intergenic spacer region". The record is from RNAcentral.
UCCCCGUUACCGAGGCAGUCUGAAUAGAAAAAUCCAACUAUUCAUAAGGGUUGCGCUCGUUAAUGGACUUAACCAAACAUCUCACGACACGAGCUGACGACGGCCAUGCAGCACCUGUCACCUUGUUCAAUAAAGCACCCCCGACUUUCGUCGGGGUUCAAGGGAUGUCAAGCCCUGAUAAGGUUCUUCGCUUAGCCUCGAAUUAAAGAACACGCUCCACCGCUUGUGCGGGUCCCCGUCAAUUCCUUUGAGUUUUAAUCUUGCGACCGUACUCCCCAGGCGGGAUGCUUAACGCGUUAGCUUCGCUACAAGAAGGGUCGAUACUCCUUACAGCUAGCAUCCAUCGUUUACGGCGUGGACUA